Molecule: long non-coding RNA, 273 nt
Organism: Macrobrachium nipponense
Lineage: Eukaryota; Metazoa; Arthropoda; Malacostraca; Decapoda; Palaemonidae
Exons: 3
Source: RefSeq, a predicted model, not a curated record
CUGAUUUGUUCAUCAUCGUCUCGACUUUGAUUCACCUUAGUGGAUGAUUUGUGGAGAAAAGUCACGUUCUCCUAAGCAUUGACUUCAAUCCCUUCUUGCUCGGAUGGACUACGGAUAGGAUUAUCCAGCCUUGAUUUGGUUGUCAUACUUGGUUUUUCUUGUCUUGACCUACUUACAGUAAGGUAUGGAGGAGAAGCUGAUUAUUGAAGAGGAAGAGCCCUGUGUCAUGCACUUGACACAUUUGCAAUAAAUAAUAAAUUUAAACAUUUCAAA